Molecule: ribosomal RNA, 465 nt
Filed under: uncultured bacterium
Lineage: Bacteria
Description: partial 16S ribosomal RNA
Rfam family: Bacterial small subunit ribosomal RNA
Source: RNAcentral
GAUGAACGCUGGCGGCGUGCUUAACACAUGCAAGUCGAACGGAAAGGCUCCUGCUUGCAGGGGUACUCGAGUGGCGAACGGGUGAGUAACACGUGGGUGAUCUGCCCUGCACUUCGGGAUAAGCCUGGGAAACUGGGUCUAAUACCGGAUAGGACCACAUUUUGGAUGGUGUGGUGGAAAGUUUUUCGGUGUGGGAUGAGCUCGUGGCCUAUCAGCUUGUUGGUGGGGUAAUGGCCUACCAAGGCGGCGACGGGUAGCCGGCCUGGGAGGGGGUACGGGCACAAUGGGACUGAGGUACGGCCCAGGAUGCAACGGGGGGCAGCAGUGGGGAAUAUUGCACAAUGGGCGCAAGCCUGAUGCAGCGACGCCGCGUGGGGGAUGACGGCCUUCGGGUUGUAAACUCCUUUCGCUAGGGACGAAGCGCAAGUGACGGUACCUGGAGAAGAAGCACCGGCUAACUACGUG